CCGCCCGUCACAUCACGGAAGCGGGCUGCACUAGAAGCGCCAGGGCUAACCGCAAGGAGGCAUGGUGCGACGGUGUGGUUCGUGACUGGGGUG
This 93-nucleotide ribosomal RNA is filed under the name uncultured bacterium. RNAcentral describes it as "partial 16S ribosomal RNA". It matches the Rfam family "Bacterial small subunit ribosomal RNA", at positions 1390 to 1482 of the family's 1533-position model. The record is from RNAcentral.